Molecule: non-coding RNA, 398 nt
Organism: Nicotiana tabacum (common tobacco)
Lineage: Eukaryota; Viridiplantae; Streptophyta; Magnoliopsida; Solanales; Solanaceae
Source: RefSeq, a predicted model, not a curated record
CUUCCACUUUCUCCACUUAUCUUCAGGUUCCAUGCCCAUUUCUUCGAGAACUCUUCCUGCCAAACAACAAAUGGAGGCUAAAAGAAUACAUCUAUGUGAAGCUCUGGGUAUCCAUCUCCAAACAACGUGAAAUUUGGGUGCCAGCUGAUGGAUACUAAUUUGGCUCCUUGAUUCCAGUAUGUUGGUGACUCUAUGAUUUUUGAUUUUUGAAUUGUUACAACAAAAUAUUUGUUCAAGGGUGCUAGCAGAAAUGCUCCUUUUAAAUGAGGUAAGCCACUUCUUUGUUUGAAGUGCCUUGAAAAGAAGAGUUCUGAUCGGCACUGUGAGCACGCGAUUUUUGUUUUUGCGUGACAGUCGCUCCAAAAGAAUAAAAAUUGGUCCUGCUGUACAAUUUUUGA